This 512-nucleotide ribosomal RNA is filed under the name uncultured bacterium. Its description in RNAcentral is "bacterial SSU rRNA". It matches the Rfam family "Bacterial small subunit ribosomal RNA", at positions 335 to 839 of the family's 1533-position model. The record is from RNAcentral.
ACUCCUACGGGGAGGCAGCAGUGGGGAAUAUUGCACAAUGGGGGGAAACCCUGAUGCAGCCAUGCCGCGUGUGUGAAGAAGGCCUUCGGGUUGUAAAGCACUUUCAGUAGGGAGGAAGGUAGUGUAGUUAACACCUGCAUUAUUUGUACGUUACCUACAGAAGAAGCACCGGCUAACUCCGUGCCAGCAGCCGCGGUAAUACGGAGGGUGCGAGCGUUAAUCGGAAUUACUGGGCGUAAAGCGCAUGCAGGCGGCCUGUUAAGUCAGAUGUGAAAGCCCGGGGCUUAACCUCGGAAUUGCAUUUGAAACUGGCAGGCUAGAGUCUUGUAGAGGGGGUUAGAAUUUCAGGUGUAGCGGUGAAAUGCGUAGAGAUCUGAAGGAAUACCGAGUGGCGAAGGCGGCCCCUGGACAAAGACUGACGCUCAGAUGCGAAAGCGUGGGAGCAAACAGGAUUAGAUACCCCGUGGUAAGGCUCUAGCGUAAGUCGGUGGAAGGACGAACGGACGUACCGA